This is an RNA transcript of Morone saxatilis (striped sea-bass), 2434 nucleotides long. It is a transcript of the gene named protein tyrosine phosphatase non-receptor type 2b, with no coding region annotated. NCBI's taxonomy places the organism in Eukaryota, Metazoa, Chordata, Actinopteri, Moronidae. The record is from RefSeq and is a predicted model, not a curated record. The transcript has 11 exons.
GCUUGAUGGAGAUGUCAACUGCCUCGGAGAGACAGCGGACAAACAAGCAGCGAGGACUCGUUAGCGUAGGGAAGUAGUCUCCGACCAAAAGCCUCUCUAGCCUGGUUAAAGUAAUGAGGUAGACAGUCGGACAAUUAAUUACACACACCGUGAUUUAACCAGACUGACGCUGCCACAGUGAACAUGGACCAGGAGUUUGAAGAGAUAGAUUCAGAGGGCCGGUGGCAGAAACUGUACCUAGAAAUCAGGAAUCAGUCCCACGAGUGCUCCUACAAAGUGGCAAAGUAUCCAGAGAAUCGCAACAGAAACAGAUACAGAGACGUCAGUCCAUUUGAUCACAGUCGGGUGAAGCUGGAAAACACAGAAAAUGACUACAUCAAUGCAAGUCUGGUAGUCAUGGAGGAAGCCCAAAGAAGUUACAUAUUGACUCAGGGCCCCCUCAGGAACACCUGUGGCCACUUUUGGCUCAUGAUCUGGGAGCAGAAGACAAAGGCAGUCAUUAUGCUCAACAGGGUCAUUGAGAAAGGCUCAGAAAAAUGUGCUCAGUAUUGGCCCACAGCUGAGGAGAGAGAGAUGGCGUUCAGAGACACACGGUUCUUGGUCACGCUGUUGUCAGAAGACACCAAGUCUUACUACACCACCAGAGUGUUGGAGCUGCAGAAUAUUAGUACGGGGGAGAAGAGAGAGAUCUACCACUUUCAUUACACCACGUGGCCUGAUUUUGGUGUUCCAGAGUCUCCAGCAUCCUUCCUAAACUUCCUCUUCAAAGUGCGGGAGUCGGGAGCGUUGGGGGUCGAUCACGGACCGGCUGUGGUGCACUGCAGUGCUGGAAUCGGACGCUCAGGGACGUUUUCAUUAGUCGACACAUGUGUGGUACUGAUGGGCAAGAGGAAAGACCCCUCAUCAGUGGACAUCAAAAGCAUCCUGUUGGACAUGAGGAAGUACCGCAUGGGCCUGAUCCAGACCCCUGACCAGCUGCGCUUCUCCUACAUGGCUGUCCUCGAAGGAGCCAAGUACAUCAUGGGAGACUCCUCUGUACAGAACCGGUGGCGGGAGUUGUCCAGGGAAGAUCAGGAGCCGACGUCGGAGUCUCCCCCGUCAACUCAGCCUCAGGCCAGGUGUCCGACAGAGCGAUGCAACGGCAGCCAGCGGGGAGGUCAGCUGGAGGAGGGAGUAGACUACAGACAGGAUGGCAAAGUGCCCGCACAGUCUCCCUGCAAGGAACAGGAGCUGGACGGCAGUACAACACACAAACGACGCAGAGAAGACAGCAUCUCCAAAUCAGGUACAGCCAAGACACCCCAAAGCAAGCCCAGGACAAAUGACUCAGAGAAGAAGAGAAAAAGUUUGGGCUGCAUUUGCUGCACAUGACAAGAGCUGGCCUGUCCAGUGGGGGGCAGUGUAUCUUUACCCCCCUCUGCGACAGCAACAACAACCACGAAGAGCACAUGUAGAGGACGAAGUUUACCCACAGCUUUUAGAAAGAACGCCCACUCUUGUACAUGGAGGGCGAAAACCAGCGACUGCUAACCACCUCCACCUGCGGCCACGCACCAACAGCUCUGGCAUCAAAGCCAACAUCGGCAGGGAACUCCAGCUCUCUCCCAACCUCUGUCCUUCUUCCUCGACUCCAAACCACUCUUCCUCACUUCAACCUCAAGAGCCAGCUCUCCUCUCUUCAUUGCUUUUUUGUUGUCAUGGAAGCAUUAUUCAGCACACCUCCUCCUCCUUCCCGUUAGCAGCAUGUCACUCCCACAUUCGCCUCAGUCCUCCACCUCACAGCUUUCCCAUGUCUCCUCAUCCCCCCUCUAAACUGUUUACAGCAGACACUUCGACAUUCUUUGAAGAGAGCACAUUUGGAAAGAGAAACACACCAGCGCUUUAUGCCCGGAUCACACCUGAACCACAGCCCUGUGCUGCUUCUGGAAUCAGAAUUGUUUUUUGUUUUUUUUUGCUUUAAUAUUAUUUGCUGCUUUUGUCAAUCUAUUUUGCUUCUCUGCAUCAAUGAACUUAAGACUGAUAAUAGGGGCUAUGCAUUGCCAAUUUGUAAUGCUGUUCAUAUGUGUAUUUUUAGAAAGCAUUUUUCAGAGGGGAAAAUAAAAAAGUUCUAUUUUUUAUAAGAGAUUACUUGAAGUUUUUCACAGUGAUGGGGGGUUGGUUAAAUGAAAAGCACUGCCUCCUCCCACAUGAGAAAUUCAGUGGCGUGUAAUGUUUCCACGAUGUACAUAGUGUUCUUUUUAAAAAGAUGUGUGUAAAGACAUAUUUUUGCUUGUAAAAAAAAAAAGACUAACGACGAUGUUACAGAUUUGAAUACAGUAGAAAAGCUGAUUUGAUGACUUUUUGUUCUCCUUUUGAAAUUAAUUUGUCUUAAGUUUCUCUUUCUCUUAGAGUGUAAUCUACAAAUAAAACUGGUAUUAUCUAGUUUACAUAACAA